GUGGGGAAUCUUGCGCAAUGGGCGAAAGCCUGACGCAGCCAUGCCGCGUGAAUGAUGAAGGUCUUAGGAUUGUAAAAUUCUUUCACCGGGGACGAUAAUGACGGUACCCGGAGAAGAAGCUCCGGCUAACUUCGUGCCAGCAGCCGCGGUAAUACGAAGGGGGCUAGCGUUGCUCGGAAUUACUGGGCGUAAAGGGCGCGUAGGCGGACAGCUUAGUCAGAGGUGAAAGCCCAGGGCUCAACCUUGGAAUUGCCUUUGAUAAUGGCUGUCUUGAGUGUGGGAGAGGUGAGUGGAACUCCGAGUGUAGAGGUGAAAUUCGUAGAUAUUCGGAAGAACACCAGUGGCGAAGGCGACUCACUGGCCCAAUACUGACGCUGAGGCGCGAAAGCGUGGGGAGCAAACAGGAUUAGAAACCCUUGUAGUCC
Molecule: ribosomal RNA, 425 nt
Filed under: uncultured bacterium
Lineage: Bacteria
Description: partial 16S ribosomal RNA
Rfam family: Bacterial small subunit ribosomal RNA
Source: RNAcentral